UACGGAGGGUGCAAGCGUUAUCCGGAUUUACUGGGUUUAAAGGGUGUGUAGGCGGACAAUUAAGUCCGUGGUGAAAUCUCCGGGCUCAACCCGGAAACUGCCAUGGAUACUAUUUGUCUUGAAUAUUGUUGAGGUGGGCGGAACGGGUCAUGUAGCGGUGAAAUGCAUAGAUAUGACCCGGAACACCGAUUGCGAAGGCAGCCCACUAAGCAAUGAUUGACGCUGAGGCACGAAAGCGUGGGGAUCAAACAGG
This 253-nucleotide ribosomal RNA is filed under the name uncultured bacterium. Its description in RNAcentral is "partial 16S ribosomal RNA". It matches the Rfam family "Bacterial small subunit ribosomal RNA", at positions 524 to 776 of the family's 1533-position model. The record is from RNAcentral.